Molecule: unclassified non-coding RNA, 240 nt
Filed under: soil metagenome
Description: partial contains 5.8S ribosomal RNA, internal transcribed spacer 2, and large subunit ribosomal RNA
Source: RNAcentral
AACUGAUACUACCUGCGGGAACCUGCGGAGGGAUCAUUACAUGGCGGAGGAGGUGGGCACCUAGUAAAAACAAAACCCUAGGUGUGUUGCCUACCACGCUUUCUACCCUUGUCUAUUUGCACCUUUUGUCGUUCCCUCGGUGGGUCUUGAACCUGCCGGCGGCAACUUUCAAAAACCUUUUGUAGUUAGUAUCUAAUUCUUCUGAUCAAAUAUUCAAUCGUUACAACUUUUAGCAAUGGA